Molecule: ribosomal RNA, 468 nt
Filed under: uncultured bacterium
Lineage: Bacteria
Description: partial 16S ribosomal RNA
Rfam family: Bacterial small subunit ribosomal RNA
Source: RNAcentral
GACGAACGCUGGCGGCGUGCUUAACACAUGCAAGUCGAACGGUGAUGCUCCAGCUUGCUGGAGUGGAUCAGUGGCGAACGGGUGAGUAACACGUGAGCAACCUGCCCCAGACUCUGGAAUAAGCGCUGGAAACGGCGUCUAAUACUGGAUACGAAACUGGCCCGCAUGGGCAUGGUUUGGAAAGUUUUUCGGUUUGGGAUGGGCUCGCGGCCUAUCAGCUUGUUGGUGAGGUAAUGGCUCACCAAGGCGACGACGGGUAGCCGGCCUGAGAGGGCGACCGGCCACACUGGGACUGAGACACGGCCCAGACUCCUACGGGAGGCAGCAGUGGGGAAUAUUGCACAAUGGGCGAAAGCCUGAGGCAGCGACGCCGCGUGAGGGAUGACGGCCUUCGGGUUGUAAACCUCUUUCAGCAGGGAAGAAGCGAAAGUGACGGUACCUGCAGAAGAAGCACCGGCUAACUACGUG